UGAUCCCAGAGCAUUCUCAUCCAAAAGGAAGGAAAUGAGGAUGGGUAGAAGGCAGGCCACCAGCUGAGAGCCUGGGAAGUAAACACAGGAGCGCUUCUGAAGACAUGGGAUAAUUGUUACUUCUGGACUGGCAGACAAGCAAACUGAACAGCAGCUUCCAAGGAGCUGUCAUUACCUGGGUCCCAAGAGUCAAGAACUGUUGUUAAAGCACUACGGAGAAGGUC
This is a long non-coding RNA of Artibeus jamaicensis (Jamaican fruit-eating bat), 224 nucleotides long. RefSeq lists it as uncharacterized. The record is from RefSeq and is a predicted model, not a curated record. NCBI's taxonomy places the organism in Eukaryota, Metazoa, Chordata, Mammalia, Chiroptera, Phyllostomidae. The transcript is spliced from 3 exons.